GGGAAUGUGGCUUAGUGGUAGAGUGCUUGCCUUGUAUGUAUGAAGUCCUGGGUUCGAUUCCUCUGUACCA
RNAcentral lists this transfer RNA (70 nucleotides) under Dipodomys ordii (Ord's kangaroo rat). It matches the Rfam family "tRNA". From Rfam's summary of the family: Transfer RNA (tRNA) molecules are approximately 80 nucleotides in length. Their secondary structure includes four short double-helical elements and three loops (D, anti-codon, and T loops). Lineage: Eukaryota; Metazoa; Chordata; Mammalia; Rodentia; Heteromyidae. The record is from Rfam by way of RNAcentral.